GGCUACCACAUCCAAGGAAGGCAGCAGGCGCGCAAAUUACCCAAUCCCGACACGGGGAGGUAGUGACAAUAAAUAACAAUACAGGGCCUUUACGGGUCUUGUAAUUGGAAUGAGUACAAUUUAAAUCCCUUAACGAGGAACAAUUGGAGGGCAAGUCUGGUGCCAGCAGCCGCGGUAAUUCCAGCUCCAAUAGCGUAUAUUAAAGUUGUUGCAGUUAAAAAGCUCGUAGUUGAAUUUUGGCCUUCGCCUGUGGGGUUCGGUCUUCAUUGAUCGGUACCUCAACGGGCGGGGCUCCACCUUCUGGGUUAGCCAGUCGUCAUUUCGGUGGCGGCUGGUGAACCAGAACUUUUACUUUGAAAAAAUUGGAGUGUUUAAAGCAGGCUUUCAAGCUUGAACAUAUUAGCAUGGAAUAAUGAAAUAGGACUUUGGCCUUAUUUCGUUGGUUUCUAAAGCCAAAGUAAUGAUGAAUAGGGAUAGUUGGGGACAUUAGUAUUCAAUUGUCAGAGGUGAAAUUCUUGGAUUUAUUGAAGACUAACUUCUGCGAAAGCAUUUGUCAAGGAUGUUUUCAUUAAUCAAGAACGAAAGUUAGGGGAUCGAAGACGAUCAGAUACCGUCGUAGUCUUAACCAUAAACUAUGCCGACUAAGGAUCGGAUGGUGUUAUAUUUUAUAUUGACCCAUUCGGCAUUUCAGCGAAAGCCAAGUUUUUGGGUUCCGGGGGGAGUAUGGUCGCAAGGCUGAAA
This 741-nucleotide ribosomal RNA is filed under the name uncultured zygomycete. RNAcentral describes it as "SSU rRNA". It matches the Rfam family "Eukaryotic small subunit ribosomal RNA", at positions 405 to 1142 of the family's 1831-position model. Lineage: Eukaryota; Fungi. The record is from RNAcentral.